This 349-nucleotide ribosomal RNA is filed under the name Sticholotis sp. CO457. Its description in RNAcentral is "partial 12S ribosomal RNA". Lineage: Eukaryota; Metazoa; Arthropoda; Insecta; Coleoptera; Coccinellidae. The record is from RNAcentral.
AUAAAUGUAAUCUAAAAAAUUAAGUAACUAAUAGUUAUGUUCUUUAAAACUAAAUGAUUUGGCGGCAUUUUAAUCUUUUCAGAGGAACCUGUCCUGUAAGUGAUAAUCCACGAUUAAAUUGACUUUAAUUAGAAAUUUUUAUAUCAUCGUUAUUAAAUAUUUUAUUAGAAAAUUAAUAUUUAAGAUUUAUUAUUUUAUAAUAAUUCAGAUCAAGGUGAAGUUUAUAUUAAAGAAGAGAUGGGUUACAAUAUUAAUAAAUUUGGAUUUAUAAUUGAAAAUUUAGUUGAAAUUGGAUUUGAAAGUAAUUAAUAUGUAUAUAUAUUAUUAAUGAUUUAGCUCUAAAAUGUGU